CGCAACGAGCGCAACCCCUACUGCCAGUUGCCAGCAAGCGAUGUUGGGGACUCUGGCGGAACUGCCGGUGACAAACCGGAGGAAGGUGGGGAUGACGUCAAGUCAUCAUGGCCCUUAUGUCCAGGGCUACACACGUGCUACAAUGGUCGGAACAGAGCGAUGCGAGGCGGCGACGCGGAGCAAAGCGCAAAAAGACGACCGUAGUUCGGAUCGGAGUCUGAAACCCGACUCCGUGAAGUUGGAAUCGCUAGUAAUCGCGCAUCAGCAUGGCGCGGUGAAUACGUUCCCGGGCCUUGUACACACCGCCCGUCACACCAUCCGAGUAGAGGGUACCCGAAGCCGGCAGCGUAACCGAAAGGGGCGCGCCGUCRAAGGUACGCUUUGUGAGGGGGGUGAAGUCGUAACAAGGUAGCCGUACUGGAAAGUGCGGCUGGAUCACCUCCUUUCU
This 448-nucleotide ribosomal RNA is filed under the name uncultured bacterial symbiont of Hodotermes mossambicus Hm19. RNAcentral's name for it is "bacterial SSU rRNA". It matches the Rfam family "Bacterial small subunit ribosomal RNA", at positions 1088 to 1533 of the family's 1533-position model. The record is from RNAcentral.